This 347-nucleotide ribosomal RNA is filed under the name Candida albicans. RNAcentral describes it as "SSU rRNA". It matches the Rfam family "Eukaryotic small subunit ribosomal RNA", at positions 20 to 370 of the family's 1831-position model. The record is from RNAcentral. Lineage: Eukaryota; Fungi; Ascomycota; Pichiomycetes; Serinales; Debaryomycetaceae.
GUAGUCAUAUGCUUGUCUCAAAGAUUAAGCCAUGCAUGUCUAAGUAUAAGCAAUUUAUACAGUGAAACUGCGAAUGGCUCAUUAAAUCAGUUAUCGUUUAUUUGAUAGUACCUUACUACUUGGAUAACCGUGGUAAUUCUAGAGCUAAUACAUGCUUAAAAUCCCGACUGUUUGGAAGGGAUGUAUUUAUUAGAUAAAAAAUCAAUGCCUUCGGGCUCUUUGAUGAUUCAUAAUAACUUUUCGAAUCGCAUGGCCUUGUGCUGGCGAUGGUUCAUUCAAAUUUCUGCCCUAUCAACUUUCGAUGGUAGGAUAGUGGCCUACCAUGGUUUCAACGGGUAACGGGGAAU